Molecule: ribosomal RNA, 1097 nt
Filed under: Escherichia coli
Lineage: Bacteria; Pseudomonadati; Pseudomonadota; Gammaproteobacteria; Enterobacterales; Enterobacteriaceae
Description: bacterial SSU rRNA
Rfam family: Bacterial small subunit ribosomal RNA
Source: RNAcentral
AAAUUGAAGAGUUUGAUCAUGGCUCAGAUUGAACGCUGGCGGCAGGCCUAACACAUGCAAGUCGAACGGUAACAGGAAGCAGCUUGCUGCUUUGCUGACGAGUGGCGGACGGGUGAGUAAUCUCUGGGAAACUGCCUGAUGGAGGGGGAUAACUACUGGAAACGGUAGCUAAUACCGCAUAACGUCGCAAGACCAAAGAGGGGGACCUUCGGGCCUCUUGCCAUCGGAUGUGCCCAGAUGGGAUUAGCUAGUAGGUGGGGUAAAGGCUCACCUAGGCGACGAUCCCUAGCUGGUCUGAGAGGAUGACCAGCCACACUGGAACUGAGACACGGUCCAGACUCCUACGGGAGGCAGCAGUGGGGAAUAUUGCACAAUGGGCGCAAGCCUGAUGCAGCCAUGCCGCGUGUAUGAAGAAGGCCUUCGGGUUGUAAAGUACUUUCAGCGGGGAGGAAGGGAGUAAAGUUAAUACCUUUGCUCAUUGACGUUACCCGCAGAAGAAGCACCGGCUAACUCCGUGCCAGCAGCCGCGGUAAUACGGAGGGUGCAAGCGUUAAUCGGAAUUACUGGGCGUAAAGCGCACGCAGGCGGUUUGUUAAGUCAGAUGUGAAAUCCCCGGGCUCAACCUGGGAACUGCAUCUGAUACUGGCAAGCUUGAGUCUCGUAGAGGGGGGUAGAAUUCCAGGUGUAGCGGUGAAAUGCGUAGAGAUCUGGAGGAAUACCGGUGGCGAAGGCGGCCCCCUGGACGAAGACUGACGCUCAGGUGCGAAAGCGUGGGGAGCAAACAGGAUUAGAUACCCUGGUAGUCCACGCCGUAAACGAUGUCGACUUGGAGGUUGUGCCCUUGAGGCGUGGCUUCCGGAGCUAACGCGUUAAGUCGACCGCCUGGGGAGUACGGCCGCAAGGUUAAAACUCAAAUGAAUUGACGGGGGCCCGCACAAGCGGUGGAGCAUGUGGUUUAAUUCGAUGCAACGCGAAGAACCUUACCUGGUCUUGACAUCCACGGAAGUUUUCAGAGAUGAGAAUGUGCCUUCGGGAACCGUGAGACAGGUGCUGCAUGGCUGUCGUCAGCUCGUGUUGUGAAAUGUUGGGUUAAGUCC